RNAcentral lists this transfer RNA (73 nucleotides) under Listeria monocytogenes. RNAcentral describes it as "tRNA-Leu". It matches the Rfam family "tRNA". Rfam says of the family: Transfer RNA (tRNA) molecules are approximately 80 nucleotides in length. Their secondary structure includes four short double-helical elements and three loops (D, anti-codon, and T loops). Further hydrogen bonds mediate the characteristic L-shaped molecular structure. tRNAs have two regions of fundamental functional importance: the anti-codon, which is responsible for specific mRNA codon recognition, and the 3' end, to which the tRNAs corresponding amino acid is attached (by aminoacyl-tRNA synthetases). tRNAs cope with the degeneracy of the genetic code in two manners: having more than one tRNA (with a specific anti-codon) for a particular amino acid; and 'wobble' base-pairing, i.e. permitting non-standard base-pairing at the 3rd anti-codon position. The record is from RNAcentral. Lineage: Bacteria; Bacillati; Bacillota; Bacilli; Caryophanales; Listeriaceae.
GGUGACAUAGCCAAGUGGUAAGGCGUAGGGUUAAACCCUUUUAUCGUCGGUUCGACUCCGACUGCCACCUCCA